Molecule: ribosomal RNA, 253 nt
Filed under: uncultured bacterium
Lineage: Bacteria
Description: partial 16S ribosomal RNA
Rfam family: Bacterial small subunit ribosomal RNA
Source: RNAcentral
UACGUAGGUGGCAAGCGUUGUCCGGAUUUACUGGGCGUAAAGAGCGCGCAGGCGGUCGUUCAAGUCGCGUGUGAAAGCCCCCGGCUCAACUGGGGAGGGUCACGCGAUACUGAUCGACUGGAAGGCAGGAGAGGGUAGUGGAAUUCCCGGUGUAGUGGUGAAAUGCGUAGAUAUUCGGAAGAACACCAGUGGCGAAGGCGACUUACUGGACGAUUGUUGACGCUGAGGUGCGAAAGCGUGGGGAGCAAACAGG